Dermacentor silvarum is the source of this 494-nucleotide long non-coding RNA. RefSeq lists it as uncharacterized. The transcript is spliced from 4 exons. The record is from RefSeq and is a predicted model, not a curated record. Lineage: Eukaryota; Metazoa; Arthropoda; Arachnida; Ixodida; Ixodidae.
UCUGGCAACAACUGAGCGUCUGCUAUUCCAUAGAAGUACGUGCCAAGCUUGCCUAGAGUCACGCUAUGCUGGAAGAAGUGGAAGUGGUAAUCACAUGGAACAUUACCAAAGAAAAGGCAUGCAGCUGAAAGGGAUCCUUGUGGGCUUGGCCAUCUUUGGUCUCAUUGUGGCAGAGAGCGGAGCCAUGCCUGCCAGCAGCGCAAGUGAAGCCGAGGCCAGGGCUGAUCCCGAGACUGCUGAGCGUGCCGAGCAGAGCAAUGCCGAGGAAGCACGUAUCAGCGAAGCAUGCAUGGCUUCCCUGUGCGGAUAGUAAACCGAUGCAAGAGAGUGAGACGUUCAAAAGAUUGUCUCUCGCAACAGUAGCACGAAUACUUCAAAAGACGCACCGGCGCCGUUCAGUGCUCCGCACCAUGCCCCGGUGGCGAACAUUGGGGAUUACGGGUGGCUGUUGCGCGCGCUCUUGCAUUUAAUAAAGUUGCUUUAAAAAAUCUGAA